GCCAGAAUUAGGCAAAUUAGAUCCGUAACUUCGGGAAAAGGAUCGCCUUUGUAGGUUAGAGGGAUGCACAUCCCCAAGACUGAAGAGGCCGCAGAGAAAUGGCUCUAUCAACUGUUUAUCAAAAACACAGGUCUGUGCGAAGUCGUAAGACGAAGUAUACAGGCUGACGCCUGCCCAGUGCCGGAAGGUUAAGGGGAGAGGUUAACGCUUCGAACUGAAGCCCCGGUGAACGGCGGCCGUAACUAUAACGGUCCUAAGGUAGCGAAAUUCCUUGUCGGGUAAGUUCCGACCCGCACGAAAGGCGUAAUGAAUGGAGCACUGUCUCAACGAAGGACCCGGUGAAACUGAAAUAGGAGUGAAGAUGCUUCUUACCCGCAGCAGGACAAAAAGACCCCGUGGAGCUUUACUGUAGCUUGACAUUGUGUUAGGACUUAGACUGUGUAGGAUAGGUGGGAGACUGUGAAGCUGGACCGUCAGGUUCGGUGGAGUCGCCGGUGAAAUACCACUCUGUCUAAGUUUUGAUUCUAACCUUUCCCGUAAGCCGGGAAGGGGACCGUGUCAGGUGGGCAGUUUGACUGGGGCGGUCGCCUCCCAAAGAGUAACGGAGGCGUGCAAAGGUUCCCUCAGGCUGAAUGGAAACCAGUCGUAGAGUGCAAACGCAUAAGGGAGCUUGACUGCGAGACCAACAAGUCGAGCAGAGACGAAAGUCGGCGUUAGUGAUCCUAUGGCACCGAAUGGAAGGGCCAUGGCUCAUCGGAUAAAAGCUACCCCGGGGAUAACAGGCUAGUCUCUCCCAAAAGUUCACGUCGACGGGGAGGCUCGGCACCUCGAUGUCGGCUCGUCACAUCCUGGGGCUGAAGUCGGUCCCAAGGGUUGGGCUGUUCGCCCAUUAAAGUGGUACGCGAGCUGGGUUCAGACCGUCGUGAGACAGGUCGGUCUCUAUCCGCUGUGGGCGUAAGGGAAUUGAGAGGAUCUGCCCCUAGUACGAGAGGACCGGGGUGGACGGACCGCUGGUGUGUCAGUUGUCGUGCCAACGGCAUGGCUGGGUAGCUAAGUCCGGGAUGGAUAACCGCUGAAAGCAUCUAAGUGGGAAGCCAGCCUCGAGAUGAGUUCCCUCACAGGGUAACCUGGUAAGUGCGCUGGAAGACGACCAGCUUGAUAGGCGGUACGUGGAAGGGCAGUGAUGUCUGUAGCGAAACCGUACUAAUGCACGAGGGCUUAAUCUA
Molecule: ribosomal RNA, 1226 nt
Filed under: metagenome
Description: bacterial LSU rRNA
Rfam family: Bacterial large subunit ribosomal RNA
Source: RNAcentral